This 70-nucleotide transfer RNA is filed under the name Antigonia rubescens (Indo-Pacific boarfish). RNAcentral's name for it is "tRNA-Pro". It matches the Rfam family "tRNA". Rfam says of the family: Transfer RNA (tRNA) molecules are approximately 80 nucleotides in length. Their secondary structure includes four short double-helical elements and three loops (D, anti-codon, and T loops). Lineage: Eukaryota; Metazoa; Chordata; Actinopteri; Caproiformes; Caproidae. The record is from RNAcentral.
CAAAGAAUAGUUUAAUUAAGAAUACUAGCUUUGGGAGUUGGCGGUGGGGGUUAAAAUCCCUCUUUUUUGA